This 474-nucleotide ribosomal RNA is filed under the name uncultured bacterium. RNAcentral describes it as "partial 16S ribosomal RNA". It matches the Rfam family "Bacterial small subunit ribosomal RNA", at positions 28 to 507 of the family's 1533-position model. The record is from RNAcentral.
GACGAACGCUGGCGGCGUGCUUAACACAUGCAAGUCGAGCGGUAAGGCUCCUUCGGGAGUACACGAGCGGCGCACGGGUGAGUAACACGUGAGUAAUCUGCCCUUCACUUCGGGAUAACCACCGGAAACGGUGGCUAAUACCGACUACGACCAGUCUUCGCAUGAGGUGCUGGUGUAAAGUCUUUUCGGUGCAGGAUGUGCUCGCGGCCUAUCAGCUUGUUGUUGGGGUAAUGGCCUCCCAAGGCUUCGACGGGUAGGCGGCAUGAGAGGGUGACGGGCCAAACCGGGAACGAGACACGGCCGAGACGCCUACGGGAGGCAGCAGUGGGGAAGAUUGGACAAUGGGCGAAAGCCUGAUCCGGCUGCGCCGCGUGAGGGAUGACGGCCUUCGGGUUGUAAACGUCUUUCAGGACCGACGAAGCGUACUGUCGGGUGGUGACGGUAGGUACAGAAGAAGGACCGGCCAACUACGUG